RNAcentral lists this ribosomal RNA (255 nucleotides) under uncultured bacterium. Its description in RNAcentral is "partial 16S ribosomal RNA". It matches the Rfam family "Bacterial small subunit ribosomal RNA", at positions 103 to 354 of the family's 1533-position model. The record is from RNAcentral.
CGGGUGAGUAACACGUAUGCAACCUGCCUGCCACAAGCCGGAUAAAUCGGGAGAAAUUCCGUCUAAUACGGCAUAAUGCAUCGACGGGACAUCCUGUUGGUGCCAAAGGUUGAUUCCGGUGGCGGAUGGGCAUGCGUCGCAUUAGUUAGUGGGCGGUGUAACGGACCACCAAGACGACGAUGCGUAGGGGUUCUGAGAGGAAGGUCCCCCACACUGGUACUGAGACACGGACCAGACUCCUACGGGAGGCAGCAG